UGGGGAAUAUUGGACAAUGGGCGAAAGCCUGAUCCAGCCAUGCCGCGUGUGUGAAGAAGGUCUUCGGAUUGUAAAGCACUUUAAGUUGGGAGGAAGGGUAGUAACCUAAUACGUUGCUACUUUGACGUUACCGACAGAAUAAGCACCGGCUAACUUCGUGCCAGCAGCCGCGGUAAUACGAAGGGUGCAAGCGUUAAUCGGAAUUACUGGGCGUAAAGCGCGCGUAGGUGGUUCAGUAAGUUGGAAGUGAAAUCCCCGGGCGCAACCUGGGAACUGCUUUCAAAACUGCUGAGCUAGAGUACGGUAGAGGGUGGUGGAAUUUCCUGUGUAGCGGUGAAAUGCGUAGAUAUAGGAAGGAACACCAGUGGCGAAGGCGACCACCUGGACUGAUACUGACACUGAGGUGCGAAAGCGUGGGGAGCAAACA
RNAcentral lists this ribosomal RNA (427 nucleotides) under uncultured bacterium. RNAcentral's name for it is "partial 16S ribosomal RNA". It matches the Rfam family "Bacterial small subunit ribosomal RNA", at positions 355 to 774 of the family's 1533-position model. The record is from RNAcentral.